This is a non-coding RNA of Triticum aestivum (bread wheat), 135 nucleotides long. The record is from Rfam. NCBI's taxonomy places the organism in Eukaryota, Viridiplantae, Streptophyta, Magnoliopsida, Poales, Poaceae.
CAACUACUCUCUAUGUCCGAAAUUUCUUGUCUUAGAUUUGUCUAGAUACAGAUGUAUCUAAUACUAAAAUGUGACUUGAUACAUCCGUAUCUAGACAAAUCUAAGACAAGAAUUUUGGGAUGGAGGGAGUACUUU